RNAcentral lists this ribosomal RNA (248 nucleotides) under uncultured bacterium. Its description in RNAcentral is "partial 16S ribosomal RNA". It matches the Rfam family "Bacterial small subunit ribosomal RNA", at positions 334 to 599 of the family's 1533-position model. The record is from RNAcentral.
GGGUCCUACGGGGCGCAGCAGUGGGGGAUAUUGCACAAUGGGGGGAACCCUGAUGCAGCGAAGCCGCGUGGGUGAAGAAGCGUUUCGGCGCGUAAAGCCCUGUCAGCAGGGAAGAAGAUGACGGUACCUGACCAAGAAGCCCCGGCUAACUACGUGCCAGCAGCCGCGGUAAUACGUCGGGGGCAAGCGUUAUCCGGAUUUACUGGGUGUAAAGGGGGCGCAGACGGCGAUGCAAGCCAGGAGGGAAA